Molecule: ribosomal RNA, 2850 nt
Filed under: Escherichia coli O128:H42
Lineage: Bacteria; Pseudomonadati; Pseudomonadota; Gammaproteobacteria; Enterobacterales; Enterobacteriaceae
Description: partial 23S ribosomal RNA
Rfam family: Bacterial large subunit ribosomal RNA
Source: RNAcentral
GCGAUGAAGGACGUGCUAAUCUGCGAUAAGCGUCGGUAAGGUGAUAUGAACCGUUAUAACCGGCGAUUUCCGAAUGGGGAAACCCAGUGUGAUUCGUCACACUAUCAUUAACUGAAUCCAUAGGUUAAUGAGGCGAACCGGGGGAACUGAAACAUCUAAGUACCCCGAGGAAAAGAAAUCAACCGAGAUUCCCCCAGUAGCGGCGAGCGAACGGGGAGCAGCCCAGAGCCUGAAUCAGUGUGUGUGUUAGUGGAAGCGUCUGGAAAGGCGUGCGAUACAGGGUGACAGCCCCGUACACAAAAAUGCACAUAUUGUGAGCUCGAUGAGUAGGGCGGGACACGUGGUAUCCUGUCUGAAUAUGGGGGGACCAUCCUCCAAGGCUAAAUACUCCUGACUGACCGAUAGUGAACCAGUACCGUGAGGGAAAGGCGAAAAGAACCCCGGCGAGGGGAGUGAAAAAGAACCUGAAACCGUGUACGUACAAGCAGUGGGAGCACGCUUAGGCGUGUGACUGCGUACCUUUUGUAUAAUGGGUCAGCGACUUAUAUUCUGUAGCAAGGUUAACCGAAUAGGGGAGCCGAAGGGAAACCGAGUCUUAACUGGGCGUUAAGUUGCAGGGUAUAGACCCGAAACCCGGUGAUCUAGCCAUGGGCAGGUUGAAGGUUGGGUAACACUAACUGGAGGACCGAACCGACUAAUGUUGAAAAAUUAGCGGAUGACUUGUGGCUGGGGGUGAAAGGCCAAUCAAACCGGGAGAUAGCUGGUUCUCCCCGAAAGCUAUUUAGGUAGCGCCUCGUGAAUUCAUCUCCGGGGGUAGAGCACUGUUUCGGCAAGGGGGUCAUCCCGACUUACCAACCCGAUGCAAACUGCGAAUACCGGAGAAUGUUAUCACGGGAGACACACGGCGGGUGCUAACGUCCGUCGUGAAGAGGGAAACAACCCAGACCGCCAGCUAAGGUCCCAAAGUCAUGGUUAAGUGGGAAACGAUGUGGGAAGGCCCAGACAGCCAGGAUGUUGGCUUAGAAGCAGCCAUCAUUUAAAGAAAGCGUAAUAGCUCACUGGUCGAGUCGGCCUGCGCGGAAGAUGUAACGGGGCUAAACCAUGCACCGAAGCUGCGGCAGCGACGCUGAUGCGUUGUUGGGUAGGGGAGCGUUCUGUAAGCCUGCGAAGGUGUGCUGUGAGGCAUGCUGGAGGUAUCAGAAGUGCGAAUGCUGACAUAAGUAACGAUAAAGCGGGUGAAAAGCCCGCUCGCCGGAAGACCAAGGGUUCCUGUCCAACGUUAAUCGGGGCAGGGUGAGUCGACCCCUAAGGCGAGGCCGAAAGGCGUAGUCGAUGGGAAACAGGUUAAUAUUCCUGUACUUGGUGUUACUGCGAAGGGGGGACGGAGAAGGCUAUGUUGGCCGGGCGACGGUUGUCCCGGUUUAAGCGUGUAGGCUGGUUUUCCAGGCAAAUCCGGAAAAUCAAGGCUGAGGCGUGAUGACGAGGCACUACGGUGCUGAAGCAACAAAUGCCCUGCUUCCAGGAAAAGCCUCUAAGCAUCAGGUAACAUCAAAUCGUACCCCAAACCGACACAGGUGGUCAGGUAGAGAAUACCAAGGCGCUUGAGAGAACUCGGGUGAAGGAACUAGGCAAAAUGGUGCCGUAACUUCGGGAGAAGGCACGCUGAUAUGUAGGUGAAGUCCCUCGCGGAUGGAGCUGAAAUCAGUCGAAGAUACCAGCUGGCUGCAACUGUUUAUUAAAAACACAGCACUGUGCAAACACGAAAGUGGACGUAUACGGUGUGACGCCUGCCCGGUGCCGGAAGGUUAAUUGAUGGGGUCAGCGCAAGCGAAGCUCUUGAUCGAAGCCCCGGUAAACGGCGGCCGUAACUAUAACGGUCCUAAGGUAGCGAAAUUCCUUGUCGGGUAAGUUCCGACCUGCACGAAUGGCGUAAUGAUGGCCAGGCUGUCUCCACCCGAGACUCAGUGAAAUUGAACUCGCUGUGAAGAUGCAGUGUACCCGCGGCAAGACGGAAAGACCCCGUGAACCUUUACUAUAGCUUGACACUGAACAUUGAGCCUUGAUGUGUAGGAUAGGUGGGAGGCUUUGAAGUGUGGACGCCAGUCUGCAUGGAGCCGACCUUGAAAUACCACCCUUUAAUGUUUGAUGUUCUAACGUUGACCCGUAAUCCGGGUUGCGGACAGUGUCUGGUGGGUAGUUUGACUGGGGCGGUCUCCUCCUAAAGAGUAACGGAGGAGCACGAAGGUUGGCUAAUCCUGGUCGGACAUCAGGAGGUUAGUGCAAUGGCAUAAGCCAGCUUGACUGCGAGCGUGACGGCGCGAGCAGGUGCGAAAGCAGGUCAUAGUGAUCCGGUGGUUCUGAAUGGAAGGGCCAUCGCUCAACGGAUAAAAGGUACUCCGGGGAUAACAGGCUGAUACCGCCCAAGAGUUCAUAUCGACGGCGGUGUUUGGCACCUCGAUGUCGGCUCAUCACAUCCUGGGGCUGAAGUAGGUCCCAAGGGUAUGGCUGUUCGCCAUUUAAAGUGGUACGCGAGCUGGGUUUAGAACGUCGUGAGACAGUUCGGUCCCUAUCUGCCGUGGGCGCUGGAGAACUGAGGGGGGCUGCUCCUAGUACGAGAGGACCGGAGUGGACGCAUCACUGGUGUUCGGGUUGUCAUGCCAAUGGCACUGCCCGGUAGCUAAAUGCGGAAGAGAUAAGUGCUGAAAGCAUCUAAGCACGAAACUUGCCCCGAGAUGAGUUCUCCCUGACUCCUUGAGAGUCCUGAAGGAACGUUGAAGACGACGACGUUGAUAGGCCGGGUGUGUAAGCGCAGCGAUGCGUUGAGCUAACCGGUACUAAUGAACCGUGAGG